Pelmatolapia mariae (spotted tilapia) is the source of this 596-nucleotide non-coding RNA. NCBI's taxonomy places the organism in Eukaryota, Metazoa, Chordata, Actinopteri, Cichliformes, Cichlidae. The record is from the annotation of a RefSeq genome assembly.
UCAGGCUCCUCCUUCUAAUCCACCAACUUAGUGUUGAUGAAGACUAAACAGAGAGAUCACAGCUUCUUUAUACUUGCUGUAGCUCACAGUUACUCUACACUGCAGAUAUGACGCCUCUGUUCAUCUCAGUGCUGCUGGCUGCUAUGUGCCUCGAAUGCAGAGCACAAAAAGACAACGUGCUGCAAGCAAAAGGAGAAGAGACUGCUGCUGAAGGAGGCACAGUAACACUUCACUGUCUCUAUAACAGCAGCACAACAGCUCCUUCUCUCUUCUGGUACAAACAGGAUGGAAAGAACAGCCCCAAAUUCAUCCUGAGUCGUGUUAGUGGGGACCAAGGAGACACAGCAGAUGAGUUCAAGGAGAGAUUUUCAUCCACACUGGAUUCCAGCAUCAGAUCAGUUCCUCUGAAGAUCGAGAAGCUUCAGCUGUCUGACUCUGCUGUGUACUACUGUGCUCUGCAGCCCACAGUGACAGGAAACACCAAAACUCUGUACAAAAACCUUUGGAGCAAAGACAACAGAAUACUCCACAACAUCCACUAGAGGGAGCCACACACUGUUAAACCUCUGAUUCUUGUGUCAUUGGACUGAUGACAA